Molecule: long non-coding RNA, 240 nt
Organism: Nothoprocta perdicaria
Lineage: Eukaryota; Metazoa; Chordata; Aves; Tinamiformes; Tinamidae
Exons: 2
Source: RefSeq, a predicted model, not a curated record
CAUUGAUUGAGCUAAUGCCAUUAACUGCCUUUAAGCACACAUGGAGGAGCUGUGGAGGCUGUCUCCUUGCACAAGGAGCGUGGACUGGCCCCGGCAGCUGUGGACAGAGGAGUGGCCAGACCUAUUCAUUGACAUUCCUGCGACUCACCUGAUUGCAGCACGUGCACGGUGGAAAACAUUCAGACAUGAGAAAUGCCAGCUUAAUUAUCUCCUAAUUGAUACCUCCACGCGGGGACGAAC